UGCAGUCGAACGGUGAAGCCCAGCUUGCUGGGUGGAUCAGUGGCGAACGGGUGAGUAACACGUGAGCAACCUGCCCUCCACUUCGGGAUAAGCCUUGGAAACGGGGUCUAAUACCGGAUAUGAGCUCGCAUCGCAUGGUGUGGGUUGGAAAGUUUUUCGGUGGGGGAUGGGCUCGCGGCCUAUCAGCUUGUUGGUGGGGUGAUGGCCUACCAAGGCGUCGACGGGUAGCCGGCCUGAGAGGGCGACCGGCCACACUGGGACUGAGACACGGCCCAGACUCCUACGGGAGGCAGCAGUGGGGAAUAUUGCACAAUGGGCGCAAGCCUGAUGCAGCGACGCCGCGUGAGGGAUGACGGCCUUCGGGUUGUAAACCUCUUUCAGCAGGGAAGAAGCGCAAGUGACGGUACCUGCAGAAGAAGCGCCGGCUAACUACGUGCCAGCAGCCGCGGUAAUACGUAGGGCGCAAGCGUUGUCCGGAAUUAUUGGGCGUAAAGAGCUCGUAGGCGGUCUGUCGCGUCUGGUGUGAAAUCCCGAGGCUCAACCUCGGGCUUGCAUCGGGUACGGGCAGACUAGAGUGCGGUAGGGGAGACUGGAAUUCCUGGUGUAGCGGUGGAAUGCGCAGAUAUCAGGAGGAACACCGAUGGCGAAGGCAGGUCUCUGGGCCGCGACUGACGCUGAGGAGCGAAAGCAUGGGGAGCGAACAGGAUUAGAUACCCUGGUAGUCCAUGCCGUAAACGUUGGGCACUAGGUGUGGGGCUCAUUCCACGAGUUCCGUGCCGCAGCUAACGCAUUAAGUGCCCCGCCUGGGGAGUACGGCCGCGAGGCUAAAACUCAAAGGAAUUGACGGGGGCCCGCACAAGCGGCGGAGCAUGCGGAUUAAUUCGAUGCAACGCGAAGAACCUUACCAAGGCUUGACAUGUACGAGAAAGCCCCCGAGACGGGGUUCUCUUUGGACACUCGUACACAGGUGGUGCAUGGUUGUCGUCAGCUCGUGUCGUGAGAUGUUGGGUUAAGUCCCGCAACGAGCGCAACCCUCGUCCUAUGUUGCCAGCGGGUUAUGCCGGGGACUCAUGGGAGACUGCCGGGGUCAACUCGGAGGAAGGUGGGGAUGACGUCAAAUCAUCAUGCCCCUUAUGUCUUGGGCUUCACGCAUGCUACAAUGGCCGGUACAGAGGGCUGCGAUACCGUAAGGUGGAGCGAAUCCCAAAAAGCCGGUCUCAGUUCGGAUU
This 1229-nucleotide ribosomal RNA is filed under the name uncultured bacterium. RNAcentral describes it as "bacterial SSU rRNA". It matches the Rfam family "Bacterial small subunit ribosomal RNA", at positions 56 to 1299 of the family's 1533-position model. The record is from RNAcentral.